GUCAGUGUCGGUGACUCUGCUAAGCUAGCGGCGUCACGUUACGUGCGUAUGACGUCAUGCGCCGUCGAUUAGGAAGCGGCUUAUACUUCCGGUUAGGAAAAAACCCGCCCGUGUUCUAUUUGAGAUGAUAUAGCUUUCUAAAAUUCAUACACUAGACGGUGGUGCAGAGUGCAGAGUGAGUACAGACGUUAACAAAAAACAAGACAAAACCCCCCCACACAGUCCUUAGUCUUACAGUCCUUGGUCACAGCUGAUCUGGAGCCUAUCCCUCAGGGCACAGUGCAGGGGACACCCUGGACAGGGUGCCAACCCAACGUAGGGCACACAAUCCCACACACAUUCACACACUACGGACAAUUUGGAAAGCCUACACAGGGUGAGGAACCAUCUGCACACACACACAUGAGCAUGUCUUUGGACUGGGGGAGGAAACCAGAGUACCCAGAGGAAAUCCUUGCUUGCUCGGCGGAGGCGGGAUUCGAACACCCAACCCCGGAGGUGUGAAGCGAACGUGCUAACGUGCUAACUAAACCAUGCCCCCUAAUCUUAACCUCAGUAAUCAAAAGUAAACCUUCUGUCUCUGUUAGUAAAAUAAAGUUUAGUUUCAAAUAAAAGAACAAUAAAUAAGCCGUUUUCAUCAGGGGGACCAGCAAAAUGUCCUCACAAGGUCAAAAGGUCACAUAUUUCUAUCCUUGAGGGAACAGUCAAGCCUUACUAAGAUAUAAAAACAUGCCCACACACCUUUCUGCUUACUGUCCUACUAAAUCUUAUUUCUGUCAGUUUCCACACAGAUCUAGCUGAUUGCUUGAUUGGUCCCGCUUGGCAGGAAAAUGGCCUGUUGAAGUGUGUGAGAAGCAGGUGCAGGACUUGGCCCCAGCAGCCCCAGCCUGUGGCCACGGCACGGAAUAAUAGCAGCAGUGUUUCUACACAGUGGAGCGCUGUCACAACCAGCCACUUGCAAAAAUACGACACGUUUUUCAUAGACGUGUGCGCCGGGAAGGAGAAGCUCAAAGAUGAGAACGGGUUUCCUUUUGAGUCUGGUUCCUCUCAAGGUUUCUCCCUCAUGCUGUCUCAUGGAGUGUUUGCUUGCCACUGUCACCUCUGGAUGUGGAAGGGACUGCCGGUCAACUUGAAGGACACCGAGCAGCUGUUUGUGUGCUUUGGGGAGUACCAUAAGCCGGCUUCGCUGUCUAAGGACUGGUUAGGCCACUGCCUAAAGGACGUGAUUACACAGGCAUACUCACAUGCAAGUCAAGAGACACAUUCUUCCAUUAAAAGUCAUUUCAUAUGUGCUAUGGAUACUUUUGUGGUGGUACUAAGCUG
Long non-coding RNA from Ictalurus punctatus (channel catfish), 1323 nucleotides. The record is from Ensembl. Lineage: Eukaryota; Metazoa; Chordata; Actinopteri; Siluriformes; Ictaluridae.